UACGGAGGGUGCAAGCGUUGUCCGGAUUUAUUGGGUUUAAAGGGUGCGUAGGCGGCCUGUUAAGUCAGCGGUGAAAGUUUAUGGCUCAACCAUGAAAUUGCCGUUGAUACUGUCGGGCUUGAGUGUCGAUGGGGUACAUGGAAUUUAUGGUGUAGCGGUGAAAUGCAUAGAUACCAUAAGGAACACCGAUAGCGAAGGCAUUGUACUUAUCGACAACUGACGCUGAGGCACGAAAGCGCGGGUAGCGAACAGG
RNAcentral lists this ribosomal RNA (253 nucleotides) under uncultured bacterium. RNAcentral describes it as "partial 16S ribosomal RNA". It matches the Rfam family "Bacterial small subunit ribosomal RNA", at positions 524 to 776 of the family's 1533-position model. The record is from RNAcentral.